AGAGUUUGAUCAUGGCUCAGGACGAACGCUGGCGGCGUGCUUAACACAUGCAAGUCGACGACGAUUAUGUAGCAAUAUGUAAUUGGAGUGGCGCACGGGUGCGUAACGCGUAUGUAAUCUGCCUUUAGGACGGGGACAACAUUUCCAACGAAGUGCUAAAACCCGAUAAUGCAGCGGCAUCACAUGAUGACAGUUGUUAAAACUUCGGUGCCUAAAGAUGAACAUGCGUCUGAUUAGCUAGUUGGUGAGGUAACAGCUCACCAAGGCAACGAUCAGUAGCUGGUCUGAGAGGAUGAUCAGCCACACUGGAACUGAGAUACGGUCCAGACUCCUACGGGAGGCAGCAGUGAGGAAUAUUGCGCAAUGGACGAAAGUCUGACGCAGCAACGCCGCGUGUGGGAUGAAGGUCUUUUAGGUCGUAAACCACUGUAGAAGGGAAAAAAUAUCCGCCUCGGGCGGAUUGAUGGUACCCUUAAAGUAAGCCUCGGCUAACUACGUGCCAGCAGCCGCGGUAAUACGUAGGAGGCAAGCGUUGUCCGGAUUCACUGGGUGUAAAGGGUCCGCAGGCGGGUAAAUAAGUCGGUGGUGAAAUCCUUCCGCUUAACGGAAGAACUGCCUCCGAUACUGUUUACCUUGAGUACAGAAGAGGGUGAUGGAAUUCCAGGUGUAGCGGUGAAAUGCGUAGAUAUCUGGAAGAACACCGGUUGCGAAGGCUGUUGCCUGGUCUGUUACUGACGCUCAUGGACGAAAGCGUGGGGAUCAAACAGGAUUAGAUACCCUGGUAGUCCAAUCCGAAUCGCGCCCCCCAAUUU
This 812-nucleotide ribosomal RNA is filed under the name uncultured bacterium. RNAcentral's name for it is "bacterial SSU rRNA". It matches the Rfam family "Bacterial small subunit ribosomal RNA", at positions 9 to 873 of the family's 1533-position model. The record is from RNAcentral.